This 567-nucleotide ribosomal RNA is filed under the name Glomeromycotina sp. RFLP5 YL-2011. Its description in RNAcentral is "SSU rRNA". It matches the Rfam family "Eukaryotic small subunit ribosomal RNA", at positions 548 to 1114 of the family's 1831-position model. Lineage: Eukaryota; Fungi; Glomeromycota. The record is from RNAcentral.
UUGGAGGGCAAGUCUGGUGCCAGCAGCCGCGGUAACUCCAGCUCCAAUAGCGUAUAUUAAAGUUGUUGCAGUUAAAAAGCUCGUAGUUGAACUUCGGGGUUUACCCAUUGGUCAGGUUUAAUUGUCUGCACUGGUGAGAUGAAUCUCUACCUUCUGAGGAACUUUCAUGCCAUUUAUUUGGUGUGAUGGGAAAUCAGGACUGUUACUUUGAAAAAAUUAGAGUGUUUAAAGCAGGCUAACGUCUGAAUACAUUAGCAUGGAAUAAUGAAAUAGGACGGACUGAUUCUAUUUCGUUGGUUUCUAGGAUCACCGUAAUGAUUAAUAGGGAUAGUUGGGGGCAUUAGUAUUCAAUUGUCAGAGGUGAAAUUCUUGGAUUUAUUGAAGACUAACUACUGCGAAAGCAUUUGCCAAGGAUGUUUUCAUUAAUCAAGAACGAAAGUUAGGGGAUCGAAGACGAUCAGAUACCGUCGUAGUCUUAACCAUAAACUAUGCCGACUAGGGAUCGGACGAAGUUAAUUUUAUAAUGACGCGUUCGGCACCUUACGGGAAACCAAAGUGUUUGGGUUC